UAGUGAAGACUUCUGUUAAUUUCACAGCCUCUCUGCGUGCACUGGUACUACUACUAGCUAGUGGUAAAUUCAAAGCAUUCAAGACAGAGGAAAAAACACACAAUUCAAGCAGCUAAGCCCCUUCUAGAAUGGAACAGACAAAGGUGGUCCAAGGAAGAGCUAUAGCAAUCAAGCUGUGCAUUGCAUUGCAUUGCAUGCAUGAGAAGGUUAUAACCUCUGCACUCACACCAUAUGCAUGUCCUUUUUAACCCAUCCAAUGCCCCUUGUUGCUGCAACCUCAUUUAGAUCUCAUCCUUCUCUUCAUAUAUACAUGCAUACUGCUAUAAGUCUACUGUACGUCUACCACAGCUUGCAGCCAUAAAGCUCUUCGUCCUCUCUCUUUCUACGGCUGUGGAGCUGAAGCAUGGCCUAGCUGAGCUAGCAGCUGGUUCUUGGUUAUAUAAAGAGAGAUAGCUAGGAUCAAGAGAGAGGCAGAUGGCAUGGAGAGGUGUUGCAAUGUGCAUUGGAUGUGUAGAUAGAGCCUGCAGAUCUCGAUCGAUCUCUUCAAGUCCAUGCCAUGCCUUUCCACAGCUUUCUUGAACUUCUCUUGUGCCUCACUCACUUUCAUUACUGGAGAGAUAUGCAUCAUCAGUGGAAGCUUAUAGGGAGAGGAGUGCAAGAAGAGGGUCAAGAAAGCUGUGGGAAGAAAUGGCAUUACAAGGACUUUGAAUUCAGUUAGCAAUGCCAUGAGACAGGCAGAGAGAGAGAGAGAGAGAGAGAGAGAGAGAGAGAGAGAGAGAUGUGAUGCUAAUUUUCCAUUUCAUUGACACUGGAGCGAUUGGAUCUAUCCUCUUUGUAGGGAGGCAUUUGAAGGCACUUCUCACAUGUUCAAGGAAUGUUCUUUCAUCUCUGAAGUGUGGAACAAAAUCUGUAUUUGGAAGGGGUUAGAUCACAACUCUUUGCCUAACAACUUGGAUUUGAAAAGCUGGUGGUGCUCUCUUUCAGCCAUUCAACCAAAACCCCAUCAAAAAAGAAUUAUGGGUUGUUUGAUCACUUCCUGGUAGAACAUCUGGUUGGAGCGGAAUAAGCGUAUAUUCCAAAAAACUUUGUCAUCGGCUGAUAGGGUGGCUUCCUUGAUUCUGCAAGAUCUUGACCUGAGACAUUCAGCUUUCCAAUCUCAGUGAGGCCGUCCCUCUUUUUGUAAUUUUUGGUUUUUUUCGCUUUGCUUUUGUGCUCUGUUUUUGUAAACAACUUUUUCUUCUUCUAAUAUAUUCCUGCAGCCCUUCUGCGUCGUUUCCCUAAAAAAUAAAUAUAAUGGCAUAUUCAGAAAAAAAAAAGACUAUACUGUAGCAAAAUUAAGGGGGAAGUUUAAUGGGCCCACUCUCUGAAAGGCUGAGGCAGGGGAUUGGGUAGUUCCAUAUCCUGUCAAGCUGGAGAAGUAUAGGCUUUUGCUUUAGAGAGUCCCACAGGCAGUGAGGCAGUGACAGAAGGCAGCUUUCCCUCCUGCUCACUCCACCUCUCUUUCCUCACCUCAGCUCAGCUCAGCCCAGCCCGCUUCAGAGAAGGAAGCUCACUCACCAUGCAUCCAUCGCAACAAAACAAAAGAGCAGGGACGGCACAUGGCGCCAACGGGGGGGGUCACUGAAACGUGGGCCCCACCGCUGGUCCAGGCCCACAUGUAGUGUCAGUGGCUCGUGCCGUGACAGGUAGGCUGCUCUGCUCAUCUCCGGAAUCUAGAUCGAUCUCACUCGCCCUGUCUGUCGUCGUCUCGCUCAUGUCACUCGUAGGGAGAUCCGAGUAGAAGGAGAAGAAAGAAUUUGGAUGAAUUCCACUGCAAGGAAGGCAAAGGCAAAGGGAGCAAAAGCACAAGGAUGAUGAUGUUGGAUGGCUGCUUCAGGAAGGAAUCCCAGUGAAAAUUCUCCCUGGGAACCUGCCUGCCUGCACUGCACUGCAACCCCCAGCAUGGGGACAGAAAGAACAAUAUGCAUGCGUGCGUGGCUGGCUCUCUCAGACAAAAUACCUGAGGGUGUGUUUUUCAUGCUAAAAUUAAAAGUUUAGUUGAAAUUAAAACGAUGUGACGAAAAAGUUGAAAGUUUAUGUGUGUGAAAAAGUUUGGAUGUCAUAAAAAAGUUAGAAGUUUAAAGAAAACUUUGGAUCUAAACUCAGCCUGAUGUGAUUAAGCUAAAGUAGGAAUAAAUGAACAGUAACUCCAACACACCACUUCAUUUCACUUUUGACCGGUCACUGAGACCCUUCUACUGAAGUAUGAACCCCAUGUAAAUUAAAAUGCAGAUAUAUAUGUACAAACACAGGUGCAAUGAAAAAAGGAAGUUGAAUUCCUGCCGGUUUAUAGUCAAA
Long non-coding RNA from Oryza sativa Japonica Group (Japanese rice), 2337 nucleotides. RefSeq lists it as uncharacterized. NCBI's taxonomy places the organism in Eukaryota, Viridiplantae, Streptophyta, Magnoliopsida, Poales, Poaceae. The record is from RefSeq and is a predicted model, not a curated record.